AAGGGGUGUGGCUUAGUCAAAGCAUAGCCAGCCCCUGGGUCAGAGUAACUGUGCUUUGUGUCCAAGUUGAUACCUGUGGAGAGGAAAGGAAAGAGAGAUUGAUACCUGUGGAGAGAAAAGGAGAGAGAGUGGGUAACACGAGGAGAGACCGAGGAAACCUGUACUUACGCCGCUGCCUGUGGAGAAAGAGAAAGCGAGUGAGCACCCAAGGAACGAACUGUGUGAACCAGUACUUACUGUGAGCUGCAAUCAGCGAAGAGGUGAGAGCAAAACCAAGCCGAAUUAACUGUGCUUUUGUGUCCCAGCCGUUGCCUGUGGAGGAAGAGAAAGAGUGAGCACCUCGAGAACGAACUGUGUGAACCAGUACUUACCGUGAGCUGUAUUCAGCGAAGAGGAGGAAGAAGGAGGGCGCUACGGAUACCUAAGACUCAGGCCGGGGCCCGAGUCCCACGCCCCGGAUCCCCGUGGCCCCCUUGCUCCCUGACCUCUUCCCGGCCAUAGCCCAUCUGGAGGGCCGAGUCAGAGUUUAGUUUUAAUUGCCCUUUCCCUAUUCCCCAAG
Molecule: long non-coding RNA, 559 nt
Organism: Cyprinus carpio carpio
Lineage: Eukaryota; Metazoa; Chordata; Actinopteri; Cypriniformes; Cyprinidae
Source: Ensembl